This 635-nucleotide ribosomal RNA is filed under the name uncultured fungus. RNAcentral describes it as "eukaryotic LSU rRNA". It matches the Rfam family "Eukaryotic large subunit ribosomal RNA", at positions 24 to 664 of the family's 3401-position model. Lineage: Eukaryota; Fungi. The record is from RNAcentral.
CCCGCUGAACUUAAGCAUAUCAAUAAGCGGAGGAAAAGAAACUAACAAGGAUUCCCCUAGUAACUGCGAGUGAAGCGGGAAAAGCUCAAAUUUAAAAUCUGGUGGCCUUUGGCCAUCCGAGUUGUAAUUUAGAGAAGCGUCUUCCGCGCUGGACCGUGCACAAGUCUCCUGGAAUGGAGCGUCGUAGAGGGUGAGAAUCCCGUCUUUGGCACGGACGCCCAGUGCUUCUGUGAUGCGCUCUCGAAGAGUCGAGUUGUUUGGGAAUGCAGCUCAAAAUGGGUGGUGAACUCCAUCUAAAGCUAAAUAUUGGCGAGAGACCGAUAGCGAACAAGUACCGUGAGGGAAAGAUGAAAAGCACUUUGGAAAGAGAGUUAAACAGUACGUGAAAUUGUUAAAAGGGAAACGAUUGAAGUCAGUCGCGUCUGCUUGGACUCAGCCUUACUUCGGUUUGGUGCAUUUCCUUGUAGACGGGCCAGCGUCAAUGUUAUCCGCUGGAAAAAGGUGUAGGGAAUGUGGCUCUUUCGGGAGUGUUAUAGCCCUAUAUCAUAUGCAGUGGGUGAUAUUGAGUGUAACAGCACGCUUUUGUGGUGCUUGUGUUGGCAUAAUGGCUUUAAACGACCCGUCUUGAAACACGG